UUAAGUCCUGGGAAUAACUUGUAGUGUGUGCGUCCCCCCAGGCUGCCGCAACAACAUCUCAUAGACCAGGCUGCUUACAAACAACAGAAAUCCAUUUCUCUCCGUCCUGGAGGCUGGAAGGCAAAGAUCAAGGGACAUAGACUUAGGAGGUUUGUAAGGCGAGUGAACUGAUCAGGAGACAAGCAGAGACAGGCGGGAGGGCGUUUCCGCAUACGCAGGAGCCCCCUGGAGAUGAAAGAUCCCGGAACAGAGACGCGAGGAGGCGCUUUCGUCAGAGGCCUUCCAGCCAGACCAACUCCAUCUUGAACAGGGGCUGGGAAAAAUGGGGCUGAGACCUGCGCGGCUGCAGCCCAGGAGGCUGGGUGUUCCUCGUCACAGAAUGACACAGGGGGUCCCAAGACACAGGACACAGAGACCCCGCUGAUAAAACAGGACGUGGCUAAGAAGCUGGCCAAAGUCCACCAAAACCAAGAUGGCGACGGACGUGACCUCUGGUCAUUAUUGACAAGAUGCGACGGACAUGACCUCUGGUCAUCCUCGAUGCUCAUUAUGUGCUAAUUAUAAUACAGUGGCAUGCUAAGAGACACUCCCACCAGCGCCACCACAGUUUACAGAUGCCAUGCGGACGCCUGGAAGUUCCCCUCUAUGGUCUAAAAAGGAGAGGAACCCUCAGUUCCAAGAACUCUCCGCCCCCUUUCCUAGAAAGCUCAUGAAUAAUCCACCCCUUGUUUUGCAUAUGUUCAAUAAAUUACCAUAAAAAUAGCCAGCCGGCGGCCCCGGCAGCUCUGCCUAUGGAGUGGUUACCCUUUUGUUUCUUGACUUCACUAAUAAACUUG
Molecule: long non-coding RNA, 836 nt
Filed under: Homo sapiens (human)
Lineage: Eukaryota; Metazoa; Chordata; Mammalia; Primates; Hominidae
Description: HSALNT0117892
Source: RNAcentral